Molecule: ribosomal RNA, 253 nt
Filed under: uncultured bacterium
Lineage: Bacteria
Description: partial 16S ribosomal RNA
Rfam family: Bacterial small subunit ribosomal RNA
Source: RNAcentral
UACGUAGGGGGCGAGCGUUGUCCGGAAUCAUUGGGCGUAAAGCGCGUGUAGGCGGUCCGGUAAGUCCGCUGUGAAAGUCGGGGGCUCAACCCUCGGAUGCCGGUGGAUACUGUCGGGCUUGAGUACGGAAGAGGAGAGUGGAAUUCCUGGUGUAGCGGUGAAAUGCGCAGAUAUCAGGAAGAACACCUAUGGCGAAGGCAGCUCUCUGGGACGGUACUGACGCUGAGACGCGAAAGCGUGGGGAGCGAACAGG